Molecule: ribosomal RNA, 403 nt
Filed under: uncultured bacterium
Lineage: Bacteria
Description: bacterial SSU rRNA
Rfam family: Bacterial small subunit ribosomal RNA
Source: RNAcentral
CAGCUCUUGACAUGUCACGUAUGGGUACCGGAGACAGUAUUCUUCAGUUCGGCUGGCGUGAACACAGGUGCUGCAUGGCUGUCGUCAGCUCGUGUCGUGAGAUGUUGGGUUAAGUCCCGCAACGAGCGCAACCCUCGCCCUUAGUUGCCAUCAUUCAGUUGGGCACUCUAGGGGGACUGCCGGUGAUAAGCCGAGAGGAAGGUGGGGAUGACGUCAAGUCCUCAUGGCCCUUACGGGCUGGGCUACGCACGUGCUACAAUGGCGGUGACAAUGGGCAGCGAAAGGGCGACCUGGAGCUAAUCUCAAAAAACCGUCUCAGUUCGGAUUGCACUCUGCAACUCGAGUGCAUGAAGUUGGAAUCGCUAGUAAUCGUGGAUCAGCAUGCCACGGUGAAUACGUUCCC